AGUGAACGCUGGCGGUAGGCCUAACACAUGCAAGUCGAACGGCAGCACAGUAAGAGCUUGCUCUUACGGGUGGCGAGUGGCGGACGGGUGAGGAAUACAUCGGAAUCUACUUUUUCGUGGGGGAUAACGUAGGGAAACUUACGCUAAUACCGCAUACGACCUACGGGUGAAAGCAGGGGAUCUUCGGACCUUGCGCGAUUGAAUGAGCCGAUGUCGGAUUAGCUAGUUGGCGGGGUAAAGGCCCACCAAGGCGACGAUCCGUAGCUGGUCUGAGAGGAUGAUCAGCCACACUGGAGCUGAGACACGGUCCAGACUCCUACGGGAGGCCGCAGUGGGGAAUAUUGCACAAUGGGCGCAAGCCUGAUCCAGCCAUACCGCGUGAGUGAAGAAGGCCUUCGGGUUGUAAAGCCCUUUUGUUGGGAAAGAAAAGCAGCAGGUUAAUACCCCGCUGUUCUGACGGUACCCAAAGAAUAAGCACCGGCUAACUUCGUG
RNAcentral lists this ribosomal RNA (492 nucleotides) under uncultured bacterium. RNAcentral's name for it is "partial 16S ribosomal RNA". It matches the Rfam family "Bacterial small subunit ribosomal RNA", at positions 29 to 507 of the family's 1533-position model. The record is from RNAcentral.